This 303-nucleotide ribosomal RNA is filed under the name uncultured bacterium. RNAcentral describes it as "partial 16S ribosomal RNA". It matches the Rfam family "Bacterial small subunit ribosomal RNA", at positions 507 to 807 of the family's 1533-position model. The record is from RNAcentral.
AGCAGCCGCCGCGGGAAUACGUAGGUGGCAAGCGUUGUCCGGAAUUAUUGGGCGUAAAGGGCUCGCAGGCGGUUUCUUAAGUCUGAUGUGAAAGCCCCCGGCUCAACCGGGGAGGGUCAUUGGAAACUGGGAAACUUGAGUGCAGAAGAGGAGAGUGGAAUUCCACAUGUAGCGGUGAAAUGCGUAGAGAUGUGGAGGAACACCAGUGGCGAAGGCGACUCUCUGGUCUGUAACUGACGCUGAGGAGCGAAAGCGUGGGGAGCGAACAGGAUUAGAUACCCGCGUAGUCCCUGUCUCUUAUAC